UGCCAGCCGCCGCGGUAACACGAACCGUCCAAACGUUGUUCGGAAUUACUGGGCGUAAAGCGCACGUAGGCGGACUGUUAAGUCAGAUGUGAAAUCCCUCGGCUCAACCGAGGAACUGCACCUGAUACUGACGGACUCGAGGACGGUAGGGGUGAGUGGAACUCCAGGUGGAGCGGUGAAAUGCGUAGAUAUCUGGAGGAACACCGGUGGCGAAGGCGACUCACUGGACCGUAUCUGACGCUGAGGUGCGAAAGCUAGGGUAGCAAACGGGAUUAGAUA
This 279-nucleotide ribosomal RNA is filed under the name uncultured bacterium. RNAcentral describes it as "partial 16S ribosomal RNA". It matches the Rfam family "Bacterial small subunit ribosomal RNA", at positions 506 to 784 of the family's 1533-position model. The record is from RNAcentral.